This 812-nucleotide ribosomal RNA is filed under the name Cordyceps tenuipes. RNAcentral describes it as "LSU rRNA". It matches the Rfam family "Eukaryotic large subunit ribosomal RNA", at positions 114 to 958 of the family's 3401-position model. Lineage: Eukaryota; Fungi; Ascomycota; Sordariomycetes; Hypocreales; Cordycipitaceae. The record is from RNAcentral.
UUUGAAAUCUGGCCCCCGGGUCCGAGUUGUAAUUUGCAGAGGAUGCUUCGGGCGAGGUGCCUUCCGAGUUCCCUGGAACGGGACGCCACAGAGGGUGAGAGCCCCGUCUGGUCGGACACCGAGCCCGUGUGAAGCUCCUUCGAAGAGUCGAGUAGUUUGGGAAUGCUGCUCAAAAUGGGAGGUAUAUGUCUUCUAAAGCUAAAUAUUGGCCAGAGACCGAUAGCGCACAAGUAGAGUGAUCGAAAGAUGAAAAGCACUUUGAAAAGAGGGUUAAAAAGUACGUGAAAUUGUUGAAAGGGAAGCGCCCAUGACCAGACUUGGGCCCGGUGAAUCACCCGGCGUUCUCGCCGGUGCACUUUGCCGGGCACAGGCCAGCAUCAGUUUGGCGCGGGGGACAAAGGCUUCGGGAACGUGGCUCCCUCGGGAGUGUUAUAGCCCGCUGCGUAAUACCCUGCGCCGGACUGAGGUACGCGCAUCGCAAGGAUGCUGGCGUAAUGGUCAUCAGCGACCCGUCUUGAAACACGGACCAAGGAGUCGUCUUCGUAUGCGAGUGUUCGGGUGUCAAACCCCUACGCGGAAUGAAAGUGAACGCAGGUGAGAGCUUCGGCGCAUCAUCGACCGAUCCUGAUGUUCUCGGAUGGAUUUGAGUAAGAGCAUACGGGGCCGGACCCGAAAGAAGGUGAACUAUGCCUGUAUAGGGUGAAGCCAGAGGAAACUCUGGUGGAAGCUCGCAGCGGUUCUGACGUGCGAAUCGAUCGUCAAAUAUGGGCAUGGGGGCGAAAGACUAAUCGAACCUUCUAGUAGCUGGUUUC